This 1358-nucleotide ribosomal RNA is filed under the name metagenome. Its description in RNAcentral is "SSU rRNA". It matches the Rfam family "Eukaryotic small subunit ribosomal RNA", at positions 137 to 1483 of the family's 1831-position model. The record is from RNAcentral.
ACUUGGAUAACCGUAGUAAUUCUAGAGCUAAUACAUGCAACGACGCCCGACCGUUUCACUACGGAAGGGCUGUAUUUAUUGGAUACCAAAACCAUCCUUCCCUCGGGAAGUUUUGUUUGAUGAUUCACAAUAACUGAUCGGAUCGCCACUGUGGUGGCGACAGGUCAUUCAACAUUCUGCCCUAUCAGCUUUCGAUGGUUGUGUAGUGGACAACCAUGGCCAUAACGGGUAACGGAGAAUCAGGGUUCGAUUCCGGAGAAGGAGCUUGAGAAUUGGCUACUACAUCUAAGGAAGGCAGCAGGCGCGCAAUUACCCAAUCCCGAUUCGGGGAGGUAGUGACAAAAAAUAACAAUACCGGGCCUUUUUGGGCUUGGUAAUUGGAAUGAGGGAGAGUUAAACGGACCAUCGAGUAUCCAUUGGAGGGCAAGUCUGGUGCCAGCAGCUGCGGUAAUACCAGCUCCAAUAGCGUAUAUUAAAGUUGUUGCAGUUAAAAAGCUCGUAGUUGGACUUGUGUGCGCUGUCCGCCGGUGGCCUGCGCCCAAAAGGGCGUUUCGGUUCGGCCCCGGUGGCGCCUUGAAAUCUGCAGCUGGGGGGACGUUGGCCUUAACUGGUCGGCGACCGCACGCCGGCUGCUCGGUUACUGUGAGAAAAUUAGAGUGUUCAAGGCAGGCAUUGGGUGCAAUUGAAUACAUUAGCAUGGAAUAAUAAAAUAUGGCUCCUGCCGUAUUUUGUUGGUUUUGACUGGUGGGAGUAAUGAUUGAUAGGGACGGUUGGGGGUGCUAGUAUUGAGCGGCCAGAGGUGAAAUUCAUGGAUUCGCUCAAGACUAACUUAUGCGAAAGCAUUCACCAAGGACGUCCUCUUUAAUCAAGAACGAAAGUUGGGGGAUCGAAGACGAUCAGAUACCGUCGUAGUCUCAACCAUAAACUAUGUCGACUUGGGAUCGGCGGUAGUUUUUUCAUUAAGACACUGUCGGGACCACGGGAGAAAUCAAAGUGUCUGGACUCUGGGGGAAGUAUGGUCGCAAGGCUGAAACUUGAAGGAAUUGACGGGGCACCACCAGGAGUGGAGCCUGCGGCUUAAUUUGACUCAACACGGGGAAACUUACCAGGUCCAGAGAUGUAGAGGAUUGACAGAUUGAAGCUCUUUCUUGAUCACUUCGGUGGUGGUGCAUGGCCGUUCUUAGUUGGUGGAGUGAUUUGUCUGGUUAAUUCCGUUAACGAACGAGACCUCAGCCUGCUAGUGUAGUCGGCUGGAUUGCCUUUGGCGAUCCGUGAUUUCGACUUCUUAGAGGGACAAUCGACGCGCAGUCGAUGGUAGUUUGAGGCAAUAACAGGUCUGUGAUGCCCUUAGAUGUUCU